This 500-nucleotide ribosomal RNA is filed under the name uncultured bacterium. RNAcentral describes it as "partial 16S ribosomal RNA". It matches the Rfam family "Bacterial small subunit ribosomal RNA", at positions 30 to 523 of the family's 1533-position model. The record is from RNAcentral.
AUUGAACGCUGGCGGCAUGCCUCACACAUGCAAGUCGAACGGCAGCACGGACUUCGGUCUGGUGGCGAGUGGCGAACGGGUGAGUAAUGUAUCGGAACGUGCCCAGUCGUGGGGGAUAACGUAGUGAAAAUUACGCUAAUACCGCAUACGAUCUAUGGAUGAAAGCGGGGGAUAGCAAGACCUCGCGCGAUUGGAGCGGCCGAUGCCAGCUUAGGUAGUUGGUGGGGUAAAGGCCCACCAAGCCAACGAUCUGUAGCUAGUCUGAGAGGACGACCAGCCACACUGGACCUGAGACACGGUCCAGACUCCUACGGGAGGCAGCAGUGGGGAAUUUUGGACAAUGGGCGAAAGCCUGAUCCAGCCAUUCCGCGUGCAGGAUGAAGGCCCCCGGGUUGUAAACUGCUUUUGUACAGAACGAAAAGGUUUCUACUAAUACUAGGAGCUCAUGACGGUACUGUAAGAAUAAGCACCGGCUAACUACGUGCCAGCAGCCGCCGUAA